Long non-coding RNA from Prionailurus viverrinus (fishing cat), 2539 nucleotides. RefSeq lists it as uncharacterized. The transcript has 3 exons. The record is from RefSeq and is a predicted model, not a curated record. NCBI's taxonomy places the organism in Eukaryota, Metazoa, Chordata, Mammalia, Carnivora, Felidae.
UCUGGGAAUUUCAGCCGCUUAUAAGGUGACAUUCUUGUCUGAGAAGUAAGCAGCGAGCCCGUAAGAAAGCGAGUCGAGGGGACAGAAACGCGGAAAGGCCCCGCCCUGCCUGGACACAGGUGAUUUGGGGCACCACUGCCCCCCACUGGUAAACUGGCCCUCGUUUCGUGUCCCCAGAACCUCACUCCACAGGUGGCCUGCAACCCCUUGACAGAAAGCUGGUUGUCACUGUGCUGCAGUCCGUUUCUGUCUCUCCAUCUCCCUGUGGCUCUGGUGACAGUCUGGGGACAGCCCAUGUCUCCCCGCCUCUGUCUCUCUGUCCCCCCACCCCCAGUGGCUCUGGUGACAGUCUGGGGACAGCCCAUGUCUCCCCGCCUCUGUCUCUCUGUCCCCCCCACCCCCAGCGUCUCGCCCCGGGUUUUGCAGCCCGCCAGGCGCCACCCCUGGCGUUAGACCCCGGGUUGUUCAUUUCUCAGUUCCUUUAGCCAGGUGGAAACAGAAGGUUCGGGGAAAUGUUCCUGAGUGUACAUCGUUUGGACAAAACAGCUCCGAGUGCCGGUGAAGGUCAGGCUUGUACCUCAACGGUGUUUCGGGUCAAAUUCCGAGUUCCGUGUGAUCAGGGCGUGUGACUUAGAGUACAAGGGCACCGCCGUGUUAGCGGGAUGGCAAGCUCAGUGAUGCUUAUUACCACGGCACAGAGAGCCUUUGAGUCUAAACAAGAUGACCAACGCUCGCUUGGCCUGGGGCUCAUACGACGUCACUCCGUGAGAUGGUGUUACCACCCAGUGAGAGCCUGUCACGUCAGGCCGCUCCUUUGUAACAGCAUGGCUGUGUUGUUAGGUUAUGAGGACAAAUACUUUUGAGAAUAAGGCUCAUCUGUCUGGAGCAAAGACAAGGGCGCGUCCGUAUGUCGGGAGCACGGUCCCACGCGCCUUGAGCGAUCCAGGGAGACAGAGGUCGCAGGGGGCGGGGUCACGGUCCCCAAAAGACACCAGGGCCUGGCCCCUGGAACCCAACAGACUUGCCUGGGGCUCGGGCUCCAGCGUUAAUGUGUGGGCUAGUCCCUUUCUGUUGUUCAAGUCGAAACCAAAGGUGAAGUUCUCGGGAAAGGAUGGAAGGGAGUCAAGCCUCGGGGGUGACGAUUUGGCCUUGUUUCUGUUUUAACACAUCCGCACGUAAUACAUUUGUUGCUGUCUGAUGAGAUCUUAUAAACUGUGGUAAGACAUGUACAAACGCAGAAUUUGCCGUCCUAACUCUCGAGAGCUCAGUGGUUUAAGUACACGCACGCCGUCUGUAGCCGGCCCUGCUGUCUGUCCCCUGGACUCUCUUCAUCUUGUGACGCUGGGGCUCUGUCCCCACCGAACACCAGCUCCCCCGCUCCCACGCCCGGCCCAGCCCCCAUGCACUGAACCCCCCCAGUCCCCGCCACCCCCCCGCCCCCAGCCUCCCCACCUCAGCCCCCGGCCCACCCCCACGCACCAAACUCCCUCCAGUCCACCGAUGGAUCCAGCCGGGGGCCCCUACACUUCCUCUUUAAGGCUGAAUUGUGUGUGCAGACCGCACACGUCUAUCUGUCCGUCCAUCAGUGGGCACUCGGGUGGCCUUCUCCUUCUGGCUGUGUGAAGGAUGCUGCUGUGAACAUUGGUGCACAGCUAACCCUUGGGGAACCUGCUCUCUGCUCCCUGGGUGCGUGGCCGGAAGUAAGAUGCUGAUGUUACUGCUGUUUUUAAAAGAAUGGACGUAAUUGUUUAAACACUUCCCCGAAGUUUUAGUUUUGAAUACACUCAUCAGUAAGUACCAUUAUAGUGGCUGAUCUAACACACUUAUGUGGGUUUUUGGGGGAGUCCUCAACAGCUUGCAAGCUUGCAGAGGGCACCUGUACUUGGGGAACGGCUGGCCCCAGGUGAGAAGCUGCCACCUGCCUGGGAACGGACUCAGGAGGUUGACACGGACCUGCGACCCCCUGCAGACCCCGUUUCACAGAAGGGGACACUGAGCCAAAGGGCAGACGUAGAAGUUGCCUAAGGCCCUACAGCAGGACCUCAGAGGAGGGGACAGCACUCAGCACACGCCUGGGCCUCGGGGAUUGGGCUGGUGGGCCGGGCCCACGGAGCCCCAGCUCGGGCUUUACACCAGACGGUAACAGCUGCUGCCGUGGCUUACCACGAGAGAUCUUUCUGGGACCCCGUCAUGUGCUGCCCCCACCAUCAGCCGUUGCUUCCGUGCCGAGCGCUUUGGCUGUAUUAGCUCAUUUAAUUCUAUUCUGUGAUGAACUAUCCCCACCCCUGUGGUUCAGUCACUUGCUGGGCCCCCCGCAGGCGAGUGGUGAAGCUGGCUGUCCAAACGAGGCCCUGUCCCUGUAGAGGCGCCCCCGCUUGGGUCACAGUAGAAGUGGGAUAAAAGGGUCCGGGGGAUCUGGAGAGCAGGUCCCAGGGGCCGUGGCCCUGGGAGGUUCCGGAAGUGGGUCCCGCCUUACCUCGGGCUCCAUGCCUGUACCCGAGGGCAGCGUUCUGGGCCCAGGUUCCACGAGUGACCGUGA